This 20-nucleotide small nuclear RNA is filed under the name Arabidopsis thaliana (thale cress). RNAcentral's name for it is "snRNA_06893". Lineage: Eukaryota; Viridiplantae; Streptophyta; Magnoliopsida; Brassicales; Brassicaceae. The record is from RNAcentral.
CCAUUGCCAUCCACUGCAGC